RNAcentral lists this long non-coding RNA (648 nucleotides) under Rattus norvegicus (Norway rat). RNAcentral's name for it is "long non-coding RNA NONRATT024367". Lineage: Eukaryota; Metazoa; Chordata; Mammalia; Rodentia; Muridae. The record is from RNAcentral.
GCCUUGACCAUCUCGGACGGUUGCCCCAAAUCUGCAGACAUUUUAGAUAAUUCGACAUCCUGCUUUGAAUACCGUUUCCUGGAAUUCCUGGUCAACCCUGAGCCAAGCACCAGGGGUGAGCUCGUUGUUUCUGAUGCUCUGAUCUAAUCCCGGCACAUGACCAUGAGCCUGACUGUGGGUGGCAUCUGUGACCUGCAGUCAGUUUUCAGUCAUUUCCAAAGUCUUCACAACGGACCUUCCUCUCAGAGGGAACACUUUUCUGGAAACCGACUUAGUGACCAUGUCUGAGAUGAUGCCUUCCAGACUGUGAAGCAUGAAAGUCAAGAUCAUCAAAGAACUCGGAUUUGUUCUCCUUGCCCACCACUCAGCUCCUCACUCACAAAGUGGGAUUUUGUCCAUUAUUUUCAAUAGCAAAAUCUCUGCUAUUGUUAUAAACGAGUUCGUUACAAUAUUUCCUUAUUUUUAAAAGUUGUGCUCAUUGUAAAAAUACAACUAGCCAAACAAUACAUAAAUAAUAACAAAAACAAACUUUAAUUCUCAAUCCUGCACUUAGGUAACUUGGGAUGUGUUUUGCCAUAAAAACUGUUAUAAGCAACACACACAUACAAAUGCGUAACCGUGGCCCUUUUUCAUAAAAAUGAAGUCUCC